RNAcentral lists this ribosomal RNA (440 nucleotides) under uncultured bacterium. RNAcentral describes it as "partial 16S ribosomal RNA". It matches the Rfam family "Bacterial small subunit ribosomal RNA", at positions 338 to 795 of the family's 1533-position model. The record is from RNAcentral.
CCUACGGGAGGCAGCAGUAGGGAAUAUUGCUCAAUGGGGGAAACCCUGAAGCAGCAACGCCGCGUGGAGGAUGACGGUUUUAGGAUUGUAAACUCCUUUUGUGAGAGAAGAUAAUGACGGUAUUUCACGAAUAAGCACCGGCUAACUACGUGCAAGCAGCCGCGGUAAUACGGAGGGUGGAAGCGUUACUCGGAAUCACUGGGCGUAAAGAGUGCGCAGGCGGGAUUGUAAGGCAGGUGUGAAAUCCUGUAGCUUAACUAUAGAACGGCAUUUGAAACUAUCGGUCUAGAGUGUGGGAGAGGUAUGUGGAAUUCUUGGUGUAGUGGUAAAAUCCGUAGAUAUCAAGAGGAAUACUCAUUGCGAAGGCGACCUACUGGAACAUGACUGACGCUGAGGCACGAAAGCGUGGGGAGCAAACAGGAUUAGAUACCCGGGUAGUC